Molecule: long non-coding RNA, 807 nt
Organism: Uranotaenia lowii
Lineage: Eukaryota; Metazoa; Arthropoda; Insecta; Diptera; Culicidae
Exons: 3
Source: RefSeq, a predicted model, not a curated record
CAGCAGAUACUUUGAUACAACCAGAAGCAAAAACUGCAUCGGCCGAAACAAGCAUCACAUAUUUCCAAUUGCGAAACCUCUCGCAAACUUCGUAAUGGAAGAGGGCAAGCCGGAACAUCCACUCAUCGAGGACAAAUACAACAAACGGGGCUGACCUAUACCUGACGGUAUCUGAACUCGGUCAAAGGAAAUGUUAACCGCUCAUGACGCCUGCUACUGGCGUGGGGGAUUUUUUUUUGUUUGCGAACAGUACGACGAGGCGCUCCGAAAUUUCAUUCUCCCCCAGAAAGACACUUUCGGAAAAGACACACCAUGUCCCCUCGCAGAAUGCGGUGGUUAAGUCGUACGACAUCAAAGGUCUGGGGAAGUAAACACCAUCAUCUUCCAUGAUCAAGCAAACUGAACAGGAAACGGAAAUGAAAAGUUGCAUCGAGAGGCCGGCGGAACUCGGGAUUUUAUACCUACCGGGUCAGAACAACCAGAAUCAGAAAGCAGUUUUUUUUUCUAAAUAAUAUUAUGGAGAAAUUCUGUGGAAAAAUAUCAAUAAAUGUAUUAAUUUCUAUAAACAGACUUAUCAAUACCCGAGAAAAUAUUAAAAUCAUUUGAAAAACAAAAGCAUAUUAAAUGGCAAUCAUGGAACCAUUCAUUUCAUCAUCGAAAACAAUAAAUUGUAUCAAUUUGGUUUUUUAUUAUAUUCAUUGGAAAUUCCGAUAAAAUGAAUCCUUCGUCUCCUGAUAAAAAGUAUUGGAUUUUCCUUUAGUGCAAAAUUACUAAAAUUCCCAAUAAACCUCAUAGCCCGAUUUUGUU